CCGUCCUUUGGCUUGGUGACGGUCUUGGCGGCUUUCUUUGCUCCUUUAGCAGACGGCUUUGGUGGGGCCAUUUCGAUUGAUUGGACUGGUCGUUGGACAAGUGUAAGGAAUGGGUUGUUGGCCAUUACCUUUAUAACAAUUUUUCGGUGGGAAGGAGGAGCC
Caenorhabditis elegans is the source of this 162-nucleotide non-coding RNA. The record is from Ensembl. NCBI's taxonomy places the organism in Eukaryota, Metazoa, Nematoda, Chromadorea, Rhabditida, Rhabditidae.